Molecule: long non-coding RNA, 926 nt
Organism: Symphalangus syndactylus (siamang)
Lineage: Eukaryota; Metazoa; Chordata; Mammalia; Primates; Hylobatidae
Source: RefSeq, a predicted model, not a curated record
AGGUUCUGCCUACAGGGAAGAUUUUGACAUAUUGCUGGUCGCAACACCAACGUAAUGUUGCUCUUUUGCCUGGGCCCUGCCCUCAAAAGGCACUGUGAUAUACUGGUGGGCCCAGCUUGAAGGUGAUAUUUCACUGUGACAUAUCCUUGGUCCCAUCACCUAUAUGAUUUGAUGGUCCUCUUUGUUCUGGGACCUCUCCACAUGGGCAUUGUGAUAUAUCACUUGGCCCAGCAGUUUGCCAAUAAGAAAUGUUAUGACAUAUUGAUGGCUCCAGCAACCAUGUGAUAUAUCUCUCCUGCUCCGGCCUCAUCAAAAGAGAGCAUUGUGACAUACUCCUGAGCCAAGCACACAGAUGAUGUUAUUCUGCUGCCUGUGCCCUGCUUUCAGGAGUGGAUUGCAAUGUAACACUGGCUGAAUACCCAGCCACAGGUGGGAGAGUGACUCAUAUCUGAACCCAACUAAGAGACACAGUAAUGACUUUCAUGCCUGGAUCCAGCCAAUAAUGAGAGGUGUUGACUGUCAUACCUGGACUUAAGAAAAGAGGUAGAUGAUGACUCUAGGAUCAGGGUUCAUCACACCGGUGAGGCUUUGACUCUGAUAUCAGGACACAGCCUGCAGGUGUAAUUGGGACUCUCAUGAACAAAUCUAGUCCAUCAUUGAGAUUGUGACUCAUGUACUUGGAUGCAACUCACAGGAGGUGUUGUUGACUCUUUUACCUGAAGCUGCGACAUGUGUGGAAUUGUGAAUCUUAGCUCUGGACCUUCCCACAAGUGUUGUGACAUAUACUUUUGCCAAGCACCUGAGUAAUUUUACUUCCCUGCCUGGACCCAGCCCUCAGAGGGGAUUGUGACAGAUACCUGGGUCAAACACCUAGGUGAUGUGACUCUCAUGCUUGAGCCCUACCCACAGAGCGUGUUGUAAAAUAU